RNAcentral lists this non-coding RNA (253 nucleotides) under Chloroflexota bacterium. RNAcentral's name for it is "Chloroflexi bacterium T-box sequence". It matches the Rfam family "T-box leader". Rfam says of the family: Uncharged tRNA acts as the effector for transcription antitermination of genes in the T-box leader family. Lineage: Bacteria; Bacillati; Chloroflexota. The record is from RNAcentral.
ACAAAGGCUUAGAAAGAGGAAAGUAGCUGGAUAGAAGCUAACAGGGAGGCAGGGGCACAGACUGAAACCCCGCCAGGUGGAAUUCCAGCGAAGUUCCCUCCGGAGCCGUCCGGGUGAAUGUGGUUCAAACUAGUAGCGCGGAACGCAGCCCAAGCGUUAUCAUGGGGACCGAUCGCUAUAAGCCGUCGGACAAAGCGGGUCGCGCGAGCGACCAACAAGGGUGGUACCACGGGAAACGCCUCCCGUCCCUUGA